CCCUGGUAUGAAAAUUUUUUAAUUAGUAAGUAUUUGAAACUGAAAAAUUCUGGCGGUUAAUUGUUAUUUAAAGGAGCUUGUGGAAUAGAAUUUACUCUUUAUAUUUUACUGAUAGCAAGCUUAUUUAUCUCCGUUAUUGUUAUGAUAGUUUAAAUGCUGGUAUUUCAGGUCAAGAUAUAGCAAGUAUUAGGAAAAAUUAGCUACAUUUAUAUUAAUAGUGGAUUUGGGAGAAGAAUUAUUCUAAUAAAAUUGAAUUUAACAGUAAUUGACUUUUAGAAAAAGGUUGUGAAUGGAGGUUUAAUUAAUGU
Molecule: ribosomal RNA, 308 nt
Filed under: Gonycranaus androgynus
Lineage: Eukaryota; Metazoa; Arthropoda; Arachnida; Opiliones; Gerdesiidae
Description: partial 12S ribosomal RNA
Source: RNAcentral